GACGAACGCUGGCGGCGUGCUUAACACAUGCAAGUCGAACGGGCCCGCCCCUGUUUUUGGGGGUGGGUUGAGUGGCGAACGGGUGAGUAUCCCGUGAGUAACCUGCCCCCUGCUCCUGGAUAACUGCUUGAAAGGGCGGCUAAUACGGGGUGUGCCGGCUGGUCCGCAUGGGCCUGGUCGGGAUAGUUUCAUCUUCGGGUGUUUCGGUGGGGGAUGGGCUCGCGGCCUAUCAGCUUGUUGGGGGGGUGAUGGCCCACCAAGGCGGUGGCGGGUAGCCGGGCUGAGGGGGUGGGCGGCCACGCGGGGACUGAGACACGGCGCAGACUCCUGCGGGAGGCAGCAGUGGGGGGUAUGGCACAAUGGGCGGAAGCCUGAUGCAGCGACGGCGCGUGAGGGAUGCAGGCCGUCGGGUUGGGAACCUCUUUCUCCGGUGGUGAAGGCCCUGUCCGUUGCGGCGGGGUUGACGGUAGCCGGGUAUGAAGCGCCGGCUAACUACGUG
This 499-nucleotide ribosomal RNA is filed under the name uncultured bacterium. RNAcentral describes it as "partial 16S ribosomal RNA". It matches the Rfam family "Bacterial small subunit ribosomal RNA", at positions 28 to 507 of the family's 1533-position model. The record is from RNAcentral.